GACGAACGCUGGCGGCGUGCUUAACACAUGCAAGUCGAACGGAAAGGCCCUGCUUUUGUGGGGUGCUCGAGUGGCGAACGGGUGAGUAACACGUGAGUAACCUGCCCUUGACUUUGGGAUAACUUCAGGAAACUGGGGCUAAUACCGGAUAGGAGCUCCUGCUGCAUGGUGGGGGUUGGAAAGUUUCGGCGGUUGGGGAUGGACUCGCGGCUUAUCAGCUUGUUGGUGGGGUAGUGGCUUACCAAGGCUUUGACGGGUAGCCGGCCUGAGAGGGUGACCGGCCACAUUGGGACUGAGAUACGGCCCAGACUCCUACGGGAGGCAGCAGUGGGGAAUAUUGCACAAUGGGCGGAAGCCUGAUGCAGCAACGCCGCGUGCGGGAUGACGGCCUUCGGGUUGUAAACCGCUUUCGCCUGUGACGAAGCGUGAGUGACGGUAAUGGGUAAAGAAGCACCGGCUAACUACGUGCCAGCAGCCGCGGUGAUACGUAGGGCGCGAGCGUUGUCCGGAUUUAUUGGGCGUAAAGGGCUCGUAGGUGGUUGAUCGCGUCGGAAGUGUAAUCUUGGGGCUUAACCCUGAGCGUGCUUUCGAUACGGGUUGACUUGAGGAAGGUAGGGGAGAAUGGAAUUCCUGGUGGAGCGGUGGAAUGCGCAGAUAUCAGGAGGAACACCAGUGGCGAAGGCGGUUCUCUGGGCCUUUCCUGACGCUGAGGAGCGAAAGCGUGGGGAGCGAACAGGCUUAGAUACCCUGGUAGUCCACGCUGUAAACGGUGGGUACUAGGUGUGGGGUCCAUUCCACGGGUUCCGUGCCGUAGCUAACGCUUUAAGUACCCCGCCUGGGGAGUACGGCCGCAAGGCUAAAACUCGAAGGAAUUGACGGGGCCCCGCACAAGCGGCGGAGCAUGCGGAUUAAUUCGAUGCAACGCGUAGAACCUUACCUGGGUUUGACAUGGAUCGGGAGUGCUCAGAGAUGGGUGUGCCUCUUUUGGGGUCGGUUCACAGGUGGUGCAUGCCUGUCGUCAGCUCGUGUCGUGAGAUGUUGGGUUAAGUCCCGCAACGAGCGCAACCCUUGUUCACUGUUGCCAGCACGUUAUGGUGGGGACUCAGUGGAGACCGCCGGGGUCAACUCGGAGGAAGGUGGGGAUGACGUCAAGUCCUCAUGCCCCUUAUGUCCAGGGCUUCACGCAUGCUACAAUGGCUGGUACAGAGAGUGGCGAGCCUGUGAGGGUGAGCGAAUCUCGGAAAGCCGGUCUCAGUUCGGAUUGGGGUCUGCAACUCGACCUCACGAAGUCGGAGUCGCUAGUAAUCGCAGAUCAGCAACGCUGCGGUGAAUACGUUCCCGGG
RNAcentral lists this ribosomal RNA (1343 nucleotides) under uncultured bacterium. Its description in RNAcentral is "16S ribosomal RNA". It matches the Rfam family "Bacterial small subunit ribosomal RNA", at positions 28 to 1378 of the family's 1533-position model. The record is from RNAcentral.